This 541-nucleotide ribosomal RNA is filed under the name uncultured bacterium. RNAcentral describes it as "bacterial SSU rRNA". It matches the Rfam family "Bacterial small subunit ribosomal RNA", at positions 303 to 842 of the family's 1533-position model. The record is from RNAcentral.
AACGGCCACAUUGGGACUGAGACACGGCCCAAACUCCUACGGGAGGCAGCAGUGGGGAAUAUUGCACAAUGGGGGAAACCCUGAUGCAGCGACGCCGCGUGAGUGAAGAAGUAUUUCGGUAUGUAAAGCUCUAUCAGCAGGGAAGAAAUACUGACCAUAGGGUCAGCAGACGGUACUUGACUAAGAAGCCCCGGCUAACUACGUGCCAGCAGCCGCGGUAAUACGUAGGGGGCAAGCGUUAUCCGGAUUUACUGGGUGUAAAGGGAGCGUAGACGGCAGCGCAAGUCUGAAGUGAAAUGCCAGGGCUUAACCCUGGAACUGCUUUGGAAACUGUGCAGCUAGAGUGCAGGAGAGGUAAGUGGAAUUUCUAGUGUAGCGGUGAAAUGCGUAGAUAUUAGGAGGAACACCAGUGGCGAAGGCGGCUUACUGGACUGUAACUGACGUUGAGGCUCGAAAGCGUGGGGAGCAAACAGGAUUAGAUACCCUGGUAGUCCACGCUGUAAACGAUGAUUACUAGGUGUUGGGGGACCAAGGUUCUUCG